RNAcentral lists this ribosomal RNA (467 nucleotides) under uncultured bacterium. Its description in RNAcentral is "bacterial SSU rRNA". It matches the Rfam family "Bacterial small subunit ribosomal RNA", at positions 330 to 795 of the family's 1533-position model. The record is from RNAcentral.
CCCAGACUCCUACGGGAGGCAGCAGUGAGGAAUAUUGGUCAAUGGCCGAGAGGCUGAACCAGCCAAGUCGCGUGAGGGAAGAAUGUCCUAUGGAUUGUAAACCUCUUUUGUCAGGGAGCAAAGUCACCCACGUGUGGGUGUUGGAGAGUACCUGAAGAAAAAGCAUCGGCUAACUCCGUGCCAGCAGCCGCGGUAAUACGGAGGAUGCGAGCGUUAUCCGGAUUUAUUGGGUUUAAAGGGUGCGUAGGCGGAGUGUCAAGUCAGCGGUAAAAUUUCGGGGCUCAACCCCGUCGUGCCGUUGAAACUGGCAGUCUCGAGUUGGAGAGAAGUAUGCGGAAUGCGCGGUGUAGCGGUGAAAUGCAUAGAUAUCGCGCAGAACUCCGAUUGCGAAGGCAGCAUGCCGGCUCCACACUGACGCUGAGGCACGAAAGCGUGGGUAUCGAACAGGAUUAGAUACCCCGGUACAA